AGAGUUUGAUUAUGGCUCAGGAUGAACGCUGGCGGCGUGCUUAACACAUGCAAGUCGAACGAAGUAGCUUUCUGCUUGCAAGAAAGUUGACUUAGUGGCGGACGGGUGAGUAACGCGUGGGUAACCUGCCUCAUACAGGGGGAUAACAGUUGGAAACGACCGCUAAGACCGCAUAACCCGCUAGUGUCGCAUGACACGGACGGAAAAUAUUUAUAGGUAUGAGAUGGGCCCGCGUCUGAUUAGCUAGUUGGUAAGGUAACGGCUUACCAAGGCGACGAUCGGUAGCCGACUUGAGAGAGUGAUCGGCCACAUUGGGACUGAGACACGGCCCAAACUCCUACGGGAGGCAGCAGUGGGGAAUAUUGGACAAUGGGGGAAACCCUGAUCCAAGCGACGCCGCGUGAGUGAAGAAGUAUUUCGGUAUGUAAAGCUCUAUCAGCAGGGAAGAUAAUGACAGUACCUGACUAAGAAGCCCCGGCUAACUACGUGCCAGCAGCGGC
RNAcentral lists this ribosomal RNA (500 nucleotides) under uncultured bacterium. RNAcentral's name for it is "bacterial SSU rRNA". It matches the Rfam family "Bacterial small subunit ribosomal RNA", at positions 8 to 518 of the family's 1533-position model. The record is from RNAcentral.